Molecule: long non-coding RNA, 3085 nt
Organism: Pantherophis guttatus
Lineage: Eukaryota; Metazoa; Chordata; Lepidosauria; Squamata; Colubridae
Source: RefSeq, a predicted model, not a curated record
CGGUGCCAGGUACUCCAUGGCCCGGCACCGGUCCGCGGACCGGGGGUUGGGGACCACUGGUGUAGCCGAUUGGGUUGGGACUGGAAGAUGGUGCAUCAGUCAUGUUUGCAUGACAAAUCAGUGGUGGGUUGCUACCAGUUCACCCCAGAUCGGGCAAAGCGGUAGAGGCAGGAGGCUCCGCCCACCCACCCGGACGUCUCUGCACAUGUGCAGAAGCAUCACAUCCAUGCCCAUGAGCAAACCGGUAGCAAACGAAAUUGAAACCCACUACUGUGACAGAUGUGUGGUGAAUUAACUGCUAAGAGUCUAGGGACAUUGAGUACUAAAGCAAAGGAAUCUGGAAGAAAAUAUGCAUUACCAAGACCCACUGGGCAUUUAGGGGUGGGACUCUCUUCUCAGAAAUGUAUCCACCUGAGUUUUGAUUAUGGCACCAACUGUGACCCCCCAGGGCCACAGUUAUUCAAGAGACUGAAAGCUUUCUGAGGUAUUGCCCUACAUAUAGCCAAUUGUGAUUCGAUUCCAGGGAACAAAUGGAACUAUUGUUACUAUAACAAUCUCCUUGCUAUGUAGACCUUCUCUACCUGAACUGCUUGACUUCAUAUCUAGGCUGAUAUUGGAGUUCUCGAAUAACUAUAUAACAUUAAGCUUCUAGAUGCAAUUCAAGGGUUGUUAUAUAUAAAGCUCUUCAUGAUGCAGGACUGGGUAUUCACAGGACCAUCUGUCUCCAACUGUCUACUCAUUCCCUCAGAUUUGGCAGAUUGGUUAUGCUUCAGGUCUCUUCCACAAAACAAUGUCACUUAGACCCAGAGAUCAUGUCUUCUUUGAUGCAACAUUUGUCCUAUGCAGCAUCAUUCCCUUCAAGGCUAAAAUUCUUCUGUCCUUUCACAAGUGCCUUAAAGACAAGGCUCUUCCCCAACUUUGAGUCAGGCCCUGUAAAAUAUAAGACAUUUGAAUGAAAUUUGUGUUGCUGGCAUGGCAUGGUUCCUAUUAUUGUUAAUUUCUGUUAUUCUGUUAUCAAGUUGCUCUCUAUCUUCUUAUUUACUUUAUUAUUUGAUAGUUUACAUACUUGUUUCCAUGUUUUUCCAAUUAAGAGCAAGGGUGGUAUUCAGCUGGUUCGGACCGGUUCGGGUGAAACAGUUGUUAAGAUUUUGUGCAGUUCGGAGAAAUGCUUACCUGCUGCCUUGCUUUACACGGCCCAGGCCAACACUGUCAGUCUGAUCUGCUUACAAGCCUCCCUGAAUCUGCCUGCCUCCCAUGUGACCUGCCUGCCUUGGGCUGCAAAAAUGUGAAGCACGGUUUUAAUCAAGGAUCGUGGAAGUCCUCAAAUUUCAUUGCUUACUACAGACCACAAGCUAGUGGAGAUCUUGCAAGCUUCUGAGGAACUCUCAUCAUAUAUUGGCCAAGUUUAGAAAGAUUGUUCCAUUGACUUUUCUGAGGUAAAGCUUAACAUUAUUAAACAGCACAUAUACUCUGCAGCCAGAAAUAUUGUUAGAGAUGUGGAUGAGCUCAUUUUGUUGAGGGAUGGCAGAAGAUUGGAUAUGGCUAUAAUCUGGAAGAGUUAUGCACCAAGUUAAAAAGAACAUUGUGAAAUAACUGUACUAUACAAAGAGGGGAUGUUGAUGGAAGAGGAAGCACUGUGACAAGCAGGACACAUUCUAAUUCAAAAUGACCUUUAUCCAUGAGGUCUCUGAAGAAUGUGCUUAAUCUGAGCUGGAUCUUUUUCAAGUGACAUUCAUACAAACCAGAUCUGAAAAUGGUAUGUAUCUUGAAAUCCCUCCUUUAUCCACCCUCCCCUUGGAAUGCCCCUGGAUUUUUUUCCCUCCCCCACUGGCAAACAUUACACAGUCUUAAAAACUUGGUGCAACAUUGUAAAGACUACUGGUACAGAUAUUGAAAAUGGUGUAUGUGCAGCCCUGAUCACUAGUCCUGAAUUUCACUGUUUAACCAGCUACCAGAUGUUGCAAUGGGAGACUGUUUCAUCACACAGUGAUGCCAUUGGUAUUCUUAUUGGGCUAAACUUUGGUAGUGAUGCUUUGGGGACUCAGUUUACAACUGGAGCAUUUCAGAAAGAACUCAUGCAGAAUACCUUGUUGCUGCAUGAAGGAAACCCCACUUUCAAGUCUACGGCAAAAUACAUAGCCUUGAAUUAUCAAUAAAAUUUGCUGGGCUCUUUGCUGUUUUUUGUCCCCCAAAACAAACUGCUAAUUAAUUGUCUUAAUAUGAAAGCCAAACUAAAACUUGAUGCAGGAUACCAGUGAGAAUUAAAAGUGCAACUCCUAUCUAAAUGUUACACAUAUUUAUUGCCUCUGCAGAUAGGACAGGAUGUUGUGAAGGAUUGUAUGAUAGCGUGGGGGCGAAAUUCUGGAUAUCCCCUUGACUUCCAGCAAUGGGAACAGAUUUGGUUGAAAAAUAUGAAAUUAACCAUGGCCUCUUCAUACAAAGAAAACAUAUAUAAAAUGGUCUACCGGUGGCAUCUCCCCCCUGUGAGACUAGCUAAAAUGUUUCCCAGGACAUCUUCCUGCUGUUGGAAAUGCGGUUACAGUAAUGGAACUUAUUUUCACCAAUGGUGAACCUGCCCUCAGGCGGUUAAAUAUUGGAAAAAAAUACGGCAAUGGAUUUUGGAAAUUACACAGAUCAAUUUGGAAUUAAGGCCCGAGAUUUUCCUGUUGGGGGCAAAACCUUUGAAUGUUAAAUCAGGUAUAUGGUUCUUGUUGAUUCACAUUAUUACUGCAGCAAGAUUAGCGUAUACGCAGGAGUGGAAAAAUCAAUACUUACCGAUGGAUUUGAAAAUAAUAUAUAAAAUUAAUGAGUGUGUGGAAUCAGAUAGAUUAACUAGAUUGAUCAAUGGUAAAAAAGAUUCAGAAUUUUAUAACAGUUGGAAAUUAUGGUACGAUUGGGUCCAGAAAAGGUGGGAUAGAAUAGAUAUAUGAUGAUGUAUAUAUAUGAUGGCAAGUAUGUAUGUAUAAAGGAAUGACUUUAUAUUUAUGGACAAUGUACUCACAUUACACCAUGGUGGCAGGAUUGUAUAUUUCAUUUGUGUAUUGGUGCAUAGAAUAUAUUAAUAAAAAAUAUUUUUUAAAAAAGU